Molecule: unclassified non-coding RNA, 1329 nt
Filed under: Hevea brasiliensis (rubber tree)
Lineage: Eukaryota; Viridiplantae; Streptophyta; Magnoliopsida; Malpighiales; Euphorbiaceae
Source: RNAcentral
AUUUUAAUGAGUAAAUAUUUAUGUUCAUUAAAAAAAUUUCCAGAAGGUUAAAUUGAGUAAAUGAACUUAGAAUUUAAUGAAGAGGAAAAUUAUAAUAAAAAUUCUUGGAUAAUAACACACUUCCACCAUUGCAAACCCAUUUCAACAUAAGAAUUGCACAAUUACCUUCUUCUAUUGGCCCCCAACAAAACCCCCCAUUAUCAGGUACAAUUCUCUCUAGCCUCCCAUCAUUUUAAAAUAAAGUACAAUAUCCAAAAAAAAAGGGAAAAAAAAUUAAAAUUAGCCCUCAAUUAAUGCAUGCACUCCCACCAAUAAAAUUAACAUAGAAGAAUGCGAAAGAAAAAAUGAAAUUAAAGAAAUAUAUGUGAAAUCACAUUCACAUGCUUCUAGUCAUCAUCUCCUGGAAUCUCCUAUAGGACUCUUGCUUCUCCAGCAUGAACUUUUCAUGGCAGCUUGCAAUGAACAUGUCUGCUAGCCGAUCAAUCUCAUUCACAUCUCCCUCUGGAUCUCCAUUACUGGACUUGUCUUGAACCUUUAGAUCUUCCAGCCAAUGAAGGUACCUUGAAAGCUGAGACUCCGGAUUUUCCUGAUUAAUUCUUGUAAUUAAAGAAUUCCACGUUGAAUCAUAGUACAGAUGAGAUGCAGAAGAAAACUCCUCAGGAACUACUGGUUCUUGCACUGGCAGAACAUGGGAAGAGCACCAGUUAUAGUGCAACCUAAAGGAACCAAAAAAUACCUUCCUUUGCCUGUGCUUCCUUUUGGUUUCCUUUGUAGCGCAAAUGAGGUUCAUAGGCUGGCUUUUUUUGAGAAUCUGAACGAGCAUUGUUUUUGAUUUGGACAGAGCUCGAACAAUCCGGGACACGUGUGAGAUAAUGAGAGUGUGGAUAAGGGUUUUGAUCUUCAUGGAGCUCAGGGUGGAAGAUGGUGUCUUUGCUGAGAAAACUUGAAGAGGGUGCAGAGUUUUGAGGUUGGGUGAGGUGACCAUUGUGUGUGUGUUUUCUUGGCCUGUGUAGUGGUGGGGUUUCUUGGUUUCUAUCAAAUGGAAUUUAUAAAGGGUCUUGAUUACCAAUUUGCCACUAGACUUUUAGGUUAUUUAAAGGGAGAGUCACCCACUAUGCAGAUUGUGAAGACUAUUUCCUCAUUUCCCCUUUUUCUUUUUCACUUUCUUGGACGUGCAAUUGACAAGGACUUUGGAAAAAUCUUGAACUGCCCUCCCAUCUAAAGAUUUUAUUUUUCUUUCCUGUAGCUAAAGAAGACCCGCUAAUAAUUUUUGAAAAUUAUUUAUUUAUUUAUUCAAACUCGAAGUCUUAUCAUUCGGAAAAAUAAAAA